UACGUAGGGUGCGAGCGUUGUCCGGAAUUAUUGGGCGUAAAGGGCUCGUAGGCGGUCUGUCGCGUCGGGAGUGAAAACUCAGGGCUUAACCCUGAGCCUGCUUCCGAUACGGGCAGACUAGAGGUAUGCAGGGGAGAACGGAAUUCCUGGUGUAGCGGUGAAAUGCGUAGAUAUCUGGAGGAACACCGGUGGCGAAGGCGGCAUCCUGGACCGGCAUUGACGCUGAGACGCGAAAGCGUGGGGAGCGAACAGG
Molecule: ribosomal RNA, 253 nt
Filed under: uncultured bacterium
Lineage: Bacteria
Description: partial 16S ribosomal RNA
Rfam family: Bacterial small subunit ribosomal RNA
Source: RNAcentral